AACAUAUUUCGAAGAUGUUACAACAUUACACACCAACUCAUCAGGUUUUCUUAUUUCUACGAUCAGCCAUAAAGAAAACGUUUCCCAUUCAUUUAAUUUGGGGAACAAAACACAACCGUUCAGUUUUCCU
This is a non-coding RNA of Ciona intestinalis (vase tunicate), 130 nucleotides long. The record is from RefSeq and is a predicted model, not a curated record. Lineage: Eukaryota; Metazoa; Chordata; Ascidiacea; Phlebobranchia; Cionidae.